UAGGUGGCUCAAAACUCAAACUAACCUAG
Molecule: non-coding RNA, 29 nt
Filed under: Mus musculus (house mouse)
Lineage: Eukaryota; Metazoa; Chordata; Mammalia; Rodentia; Muridae
Source: RNAcentral